GACGAACGCUGGCGGCGUGCUUAACACAUGCAAGUCGAACGAUGAAGCCGGAGCUUGCUCUGGUGAAUUAGUGGCGAACGGGUGAGUAACACGUGAGUAACCUGCCCUUGACUCUGGGAUAACUGCGGGAAACUGUAGCUAAUACCGGAUACGACCCUCGGAGGCAUCUCCUGGGGGUGGAAAGAAUUUCGGUCAAGGAUGGACUCGCGGCCUAUCAGCUAGUUGGUGAGGUAAAGGCUCACCAAGGCGACGACGGGUAGCCGGCCUGGGAGGGUGACCGGCCACACUGGGACUGAGACACGGCCCAGACUUCUACGGGAGGCAGCAGUGGGGAAUAUUGCACAAUGGGCGCAAGCCUGAUGCAGCAACGCCGCGUGAGGGAUGACGGCCUUCAGGUUGUAAACCUCUUUUAGCAGGGAAGAAGCGAAAGUGACGGUACCUGCAGAAAAAGCACCGGCUAACUACGUGCCAGCCGCCGCGGUAA
RNAcentral lists this ribosomal RNA (484 nucleotides) under uncultured bacterium. Its description in RNAcentral is "partial 16S ribosomal RNA". It matches the Rfam family "Bacterial small subunit ribosomal RNA", at positions 28 to 523 of the family's 1533-position model. The record is from RNAcentral.